CAGGUUCCAACCCUGGGGUAGAUUGCAAGGUCGCAGGGCAGGGCUGCAGUUCCCUCCUCACUGAGUCAGCACAGCCAAGGCCACCAGAGCUGAGAGACACCAUCAGGCAGGAACACACAGAGACAGUACUCUUGAAGAUGCUCUCCGGCUCUAGAAAGGAGACCAUCAAGCUGCCCUGAGCUUCCCGAAGGACUCCUGAUGCGACUGACAGCUAUGAAGGAGACUGCACAGCAGGCUCUGAGAUCCCCUGGCUGGUGGGUUUAAUCGAUGCUGGAGAAUAACUGGAGAAUCUACAGCUGGUGUCUUUGCCUGAUGAAGAUGUAGAACUCAGCUCCUCCAGCCCCUUGCCUGCCUGAAUGCUGAGAUGCUGCCAUGAUCCCGCCUUGAUGAUGAUGGACUGAACCUCUGAACUUGUAAGGCAGCUCCAAUGAAAUUUUGUCCUUUAUAAAACUCGCAUUGGUCAUGGUGUCUUUCCAUGGCAGUAAAACCCCUAACUAAGACCGAUGGGUUUCAUUAACACUUCCAAGCCUGGGCAUUUUGACCCAAGCAGAUGCAGAUUCUGUCCAGGCGUCCUACUGUGUGCCUCUGUGCCCAGCAGAAAAGGAAGAGAAAUGGGUUCUUCCACUUGAGGUGACAAAUUUCUGUUUUUGUUUCUGUUUUUCUUUUUAAUGUUUAUUAUUUUCCAGCCCCAACAUGAGCCCUGGGAAUAUAAGAUGAAUGUCAUGUCGUCCCUUCCUGAAGAGGCUGAAGGGAGCAAGGUGAACCCAAUGUGCACAGAACAAAUGCACUUUGCCCAGGUCUUCAGGCUGUCACUGCACUCUGGCGUGCACUUUCUGUUUUGAUGAGUCACUGCAGGUUUCCUUUUCCCCCUAUAUUUCUUUGAGGAGGCAGGUGCAAUUUAAUAUUUGUCCAUUUAAAAUGUUUCAUUGUUUAUAACAAAUAAAAAUCACACACAUUUACAAUGUCUCACCAAAUGUAUCGUUUUUUGUAAUAAGAACCCUUUAACAAUGUAGCCAUCUUGAAGGAGGCAAACUGCUGAGUGGGUAGAAGGCUCCGCUGUUAGGAACACGGGCUGCUCUUCCAGAGGGCAUCUCAGGAGCAUCUGGGAUUUCAGCCUAAGAGAUCUGACACCCUCUCCUGGCUCCCUCAGGCACCAGGCAUUCAUGCGGUGUACGGACGUACAGAUCCACACCCCCUCUGUUUCCUCCAGAAAAGAGCAGGCUUCCAAGAGACAACAACCAAACAGGACAAAACAAGAUAAACACAGAAAGACAAGGCAAAAGCCCUCAUAUUGAGGGUGGAGAAGACAACACAAUAGGAGGAAAAGUUUCCCAAGAGCAGGCAGAAGAGUGAGAGACACACUCCACACCCCUGCUCCCACCAAUAGGACCGCUAUAGUUUUAGUAUCCAGCAUAUUGUUUUGAACAUAACUACAGACAUUUCUGCAGUGGAACGAAAGCAAACUCAGCCUCUUAGCUGCCUUUCUCUAGUAUCUCAUUGCAGCAACAUGAAGCAAACACUGAUGGACUUCAGCUCUCCAUUUCUGAGAUGAUGCCCGUGGAUGCUUACUGUAGCCUCCUGACCUUUGUGUUUCUGUGUGGAGCAGCAAGUUACUACCAUAUACAUCUACACAAUGGAAUAUUACUCAGCUAUCAAAAACAACGGCUUUAUGAAAUUCGUAGGCAAAUGGUUGGAACUGGAAAAUAUCAUCCUGAGUGAGCUAACCCAAACACAGAAAGACAUACAUGGUAUGCACUCACUGGGGAACAAGAAUACCCUUGGCAGGGAAGAGAAAGGCAAAGAUUAAAACAGAGACUGAAGGAACUCCCAUUCAGAGCCUGCCCCACAUGUGGCCCAUACAUAUACAGCCACCCAAUUAGACAAGAUGGAUGAAGCAAAGAAGUGCAGACCGACAGGAGCCGGAUGUAGAUCUCUCCUGAGAGACACAGCCAGAAUAUAGCAAAUACAGAGGCGAAUGCCAGCAGCAAACCACUAAACUGAGAAUAGGACCCUCGUUGAAGGAAUCAGAGAAAGAACUGGAAGAGCUUGAAGGGGCUCAAGACCCCAUAUGUACAACAAUGCCAAGCAACCAGAGCUUCCAGGGACUAAGCCACUACCUAAAGACUAUGCAUGGACUGACCCUGGACUCUGACCUCAUAGGUAGCAAUGAAUAUCCUAGUAAGAGCACCAGUGGAAGGGGAAGCCCUGGGUCCUGCUAAGACUGAACCCCCAGUGAA
Non-coding RNA from Rattus norvegicus (Norway rat), 2237 nucleotides. The record is from RefSeq and is a predicted model, not a curated record. NCBI's taxonomy places the organism in Eukaryota, Metazoa, Chordata, Mammalia, Rodentia, Muridae.